AAUUUUAACUGAUACUAGAACACACCCGUGAUAUCACGGGUCCGAGACUGAAUUAAAGUAUAUAACUAUGCGCAAGCCUUAUUUUAGUAUUAGUAUUGUCAUCUGAUAAAGUCAUGCCGAUUAUAAGAUACACAGUUUUUCUCUGCUUUCAAGUUGUUCUGUUUGAACCCGUCGAACUGAAACAAUAAUAUUAAUUAUUUGGAAAACAAAAGGUCCUGGAAUGGAGUAUUUUUUAAUCAACAGCAUUGUCCUAUAUAAGUUAUAAAUAAAGUUGAAUUCUUUGCGUCGCUGUUUUACGUCAUGCCCACUAACAAAUUGAAAACUGUACCUAUACGCCUUAUUUUUAGUCCAGAUUUUUAGUAUUCGUAUUGUUAUCUUAGAAAGUCUUACUGAUUAAAAUACUACAAUAGGUAACAAUUUGACAAUUUAGUAGUGUCAACCCUGUGGUUAUGACCCGUGUAUAUAGCAUAUUAAUCCUGAAUACAACGUUUGGUGGUGCGCCUGUUAGAUGCGGAACGUACAGAUAAGGUAAUAGGUAACAGGUGAAUAUACUAUUGGUAUCGGUAUCGGACUCGACCCGGAACUUCUUAAUUAUUGGCAAUAUUGAUUACGUGGAAAACAAAAGGGC
This 628-nucleotide long non-coding RNA is filed under the name Mytilus galloprovincialis (Mediterranean mussel). The record is from RNAcentral. Lineage: Eukaryota; Metazoa; Mollusca; Bivalvia; Mytilida; Mytilidae.